UACCACAGGGAUAACUGGCUUGU
This 23-nucleotide non-coding RNA is filed under the name Arabidopsis thaliana (thale cress). Lineage: Eukaryota; Viridiplantae; Streptophyta; Magnoliopsida; Brassicales; Brassicaceae. RNAcentral also lists the same sequence under 3 other names. The record is from RNAcentral.